This 253-nucleotide ribosomal RNA is filed under the name uncultured prokaryote. Its description in RNAcentral is "partial 16S ribosomal RNA". It matches the Rfam family "Bacterial small subunit ribosomal RNA", at positions 525 to 777 of the family's 1533-position model. The record is from RNAcentral.
CCUUCUUUUUCCCGCUUUUUCCGGAAUCAUUGGGCGUAAAGAGCGUGUAGGCGGCCCGAUAAGUCCGCCGUGAAAGCCCAGGGCUCAACCCUGGGAUGCCGGUGGAUACUGUCGGGCUAGAGUUCGGAAGAGGCAAGUGGAAUUCCUGGUGUAGCGGUGAAAUGCGCAGAUAUCAGGAGGAACACCUAUGGCGAAGGCAGCUUGCUGGGACGACACUGACGCUGAGACGCGAAAGCGUGGGGAGCAAACAGGA